GAAUUCAACUCCUACGGGAGGCAGCAGUCGAGAAUCAUUCACAAUGGGGGAAACCCUGAUGGUGCGACGCCGCGUGGGGGAAUGAAGGUCUUCGGAUUGUAAACCCCUGUCAUGUGGGAGCAAAUUAAAAAGAUAGUACCACAAGAGGAAGAGACGGCUAACUCUGUGCCAGCAGCCGCGGUAAUACAGAGGUCUCAAGCGUUGUUCGGAAUCACUGGGCGUAAAGCGUGCGUAGGCUGUUUCGUAAGUCGUGUGUGAAAGGCGCGGGCUCAACCCGCGGACGGCACAUGAUACUGCGAGACUAGAGUAAUGGAGGGGGAACCGGAAUUCUCGGUGUAGCAGUGAAAUGCGUAGAUAUCGAGAGGAACACUCGUGGCGAAGGCGGGUUCCUGGACAUUAACUGACGCUGAGGCACGAAGGCCAGGGGAGCGAAAGGGAUUAGAAACCCCAGUAGUCCAGGCGUU
Molecule: ribosomal RNA, 464 nt
Filed under: uncultured bacterium
Lineage: Bacteria
Description: bacterial SSU rRNA
Rfam family: Bacterial small subunit ribosomal RNA
Source: RNAcentral